Molecule: ribosomal RNA, 1457 nt
Filed under: Streptococcus salivarius
Lineage: Bacteria; Bacillati; Bacillota; Bacilli; Lactobacillales; Streptococcaceae
Description: bacterial SSU rRNA
Rfam family: Bacterial small subunit ribosomal RNA
Source: RNAcentral
UCGUUGGGGGGGGGGCUAAUACAUGCAAGUAGAACGCUGAAGAGAGGAGCUUGCUCUUCUUGGAUGAGUUGCGAACGGGUGAGUAACGCGUAGGUAACCUGCCUUGUAGCGGGGGAUAACUAUUGGAAACGAUAGCUAAUACCGCAUAACAAUGGAUGACACAUGUCAUUUAUUUGAAAGGGGCAAUUGCUCCACUACAAGAUGGACCUGCGUUGUAUUAGCUAGUAGGUGAGGUAACGGCUCACCUAGGCGACGAUACAUAGCCGACCUGAGAGGGUGAUCGGCCACACUGGGACUGAGACACGGCCCAGACUCCUACGGGAGGCAGCAGUAGGGAAUCUUCGGCAAUGGGGGCAACCCUGACCGAGCAACGCCGCGUGAGUGAAGAAGGUUUUCGGAUCGUAAAGCUCUGUUGUAAGUCAAGAACGAGUGUGAGAGUGGAAAGUUCACACUGUGACGGUAGCUUACCAGAAAGGGACGGCUAACUACGUGCCAGCAGCCGCGGUAAUACGUAGGUCCCGAGCGUUGUCCGGAUUUAUUGGGCGUAAAGCGAGCGCAGGCGGUUUGAUAAGUCUGAAGUUAAAGGCUGUGGCUCAACCAUAGUUCGCUUUGGAAACUGUCAAACUUGAGUGCAGAAGGGGAGAGUGGAAUUCCAUGUGUAGCGGUGAAAUGCGUAGAUAUAUGGAGGAACACCGGUGGCGAAAGCGGCUCUCUGGUCUGUAACUGACGCUGAGGCUCGAAAGCGUGGGGAGCGAACAGGAUUAGAUACCCUGGUAGUCCACGCCGUAAACGAUGAGUGCUAGGUGUUGGAUCCUUUCCGGGAUUCAGUGCCGCAGCUAACGCAUUAAGCACUCCGCCUGGGGAGUACGACCGCAAGGUUGAAACUCAAAGGAAUUGACGGGGGCCCGCACAAGCGGUGGAGCAUGUGGUUUAAUUCGAAGCAACGCGAAGAACCUUACCAGGUCUUGACAUCCCGAUGCUAUUUCUAGAGAUAGAAAGUUACUUCGGUACAUCGGUGACAGGUGGUGCAUGGUUGUCGUCAGCUCGUGUCGUGAGAUGUUGGGUUAAGUCCCGCAACGAGCGCAACCCCUAUUGUUAGUUGCCAUCAUUCAGUUGGGCACUCUAGCGAGACUGCCGGUAAUAAACCGGAGGAAGGUGGGGAUGACGUCAAAUCAUCAUGCCCCUUAUGACCUGGGCUACACACGUGCUACAAUGGUUGGUACAACGAGUUGCGAGUCGGUGACGGCAAGCUAAUCUCUUAAAGCCAAUCUCAGUUCGGAUUGUAGGCUGCAACUCGCCUACAUGAAGUCGGAAUCGCUAGUAAUCGCGGAUCAGCACGCCGCGGUGAAUACGUUCCCGGGCCUUGUACACACCGCCCGUCACACCACGAGAGUUUGUAACACCCGAAGUCGGUGAGGUAACCUUUGGAGCCAGCCGCCUAAGGUGGGAAUUGAAGA